CAUGGCUCAGAACGAACGCUGGCGGCGCGUUUAAGCAUGCAAGUCGAGCGGCAAGGGCCUUCGGGCCCCUAGAGCGGCGGACGGGUGAGCAACACGUGGACAAUCUGCCCCCCGGCCCGGGAUAGCCCAGGGAAACCUGGAUUAAUACCGGAUGAGACGGGACCCGCGAUGGCGGGAUCCGGGAAAGGCGCUGCGGCGCCGCCGGGGGAUGAGUCUGCGUCCCAUUAGCUAGACGGCGGGGUAACGGCCCACCGUGGCGACGAUGGGUAGCCGGCCUGAGAGGGUGGACGGCCACAUUGGAACUGAGACACGGUCCAGACUCCUACGGGAGGCAGCAGCUAAGAAUCUUCCGCAAUGGGCGAAAGCCUGACGGAGCGACGCCCGCGUGAACGAAGAAGGCCGUGAGGUUGUAAAGUUCUUUUCGGGAGGGGGAACAACCGUGGCAGGGAAUGGCCGCGGGAUGACGUGAAUCCCGGAAUAAGCCCCGGCUAACUACGUGCCAGCCGCUGC
Molecule: ribosomal RNA, 510 nt
Filed under: uncultured bacterium
Lineage: Bacteria
Description: bacterial SSU rRNA
Rfam family: Bacterial small subunit ribosomal RNA
Source: RNAcentral